UACAGAGGUCCCGAGCGUUGUUCGGAUUUACUGGGCGUAAAGGGUGCGUAGGAGGUUGAGAAAGUAAGGUGUGAAAUCCCACUGCUUAACAGUGGAACUGCGCCUUAUACUCCUUGACUAGAGAACCGGAGGGGAGAUCGGAAUUCCUGGUGUAGCGGUGAAAUGCGUAGAUAUCAGGAGGAACGCCAAUGGCGAAGGCAGAUCUCUGGAAGGUUUCUGACUCUGAGGCACGAAGGCUAGGGUAGCAAACGGG
RNAcentral lists this ribosomal RNA (253 nucleotides) under uncultured bacterium. RNAcentral describes it as "partial 16S ribosomal RNA". It matches the Rfam family "Bacterial small subunit ribosomal RNA", at positions 524 to 776 of the family's 1533-position model. The record is from RNAcentral.